GAUGAACGCUGGCGGCGUGCCUAAUACAUGCAAGUCGAGCGAACGGACGAGAAGCUUGCUUCUCUGAUGUUAGCGGCGGACGGGUGAGUAACACGUGGAUAACCUACCUAUAAGACUGGGAUAACUUCGGGAAACCGGAGCUAAUACCGGAUAAAAUUUUGAACCGCAUGGUUCAAAAGUGAAAGACGGUCUUGCUGUCACUUAUAGAUGGAUCCGGGCUGCAUUAGCUAGUUGGUAAGGUAACGGCUUACCAAGGCAACGAUGCAUAGCCGACCUGAGAGGGUGAUCGGCCACACUGGAACUGAGACACGGUCCAGACUCCUACGGGAGGCAGCAGUAGGGAAUCUUCCGCAAUGGGCGAAAGCCUGCCGGAGCAACGCCGCGUGAGUGAUGAAGGUCUUCGGAUCGUAAAACUCUGUUAUUAGGGAAGAACAUAUGUGUAAGUAACUGUGCACAUCUUGACGGUACCUAAUCAGAAAGCCACGGCUAACUACGUG
RNAcentral lists this ribosomal RNA (497 nucleotides) under uncultured bacterium. RNAcentral's name for it is "partial 16S ribosomal RNA". It matches the Rfam family "Bacterial small subunit ribosomal RNA", at positions 28 to 507 of the family's 1533-position model. The record is from RNAcentral.